CUUAAGACCGUUUUGAACCAAAAUACCUCAUAGUUGAAUAUAGAUGCUCUGGCAGCUUUGAUAUCAACUCCUGCAACCGAUGCUAACAGUGUCUUACGUUCUUCUAUAUCAACACAUGCUCCAACUAAUGAUCAAGUCAUGAAUGAUAAUAUCAAUGAAGAUUUUCAAUCAUUCGAAGAUGAAGAGACUUAGAUGUAGAUGUAGAUGUAGAUGUUUCACUUUAUUUUUAUAGAUUGAAUAUGUUAUUUUGAUUAUGAAUGAUGAUUUAGAAUAGAAUAUAUUUCAAAAUGUUUUGUUGAUUGUGAAUUAAUGGUUGACAUUGUGAUAUGUAAUUUGAAGUUGUUUUGUUCA
Molecule: long non-coding RNA, 351 nt
Organism: Vicia villosa (hairy vetch)
Lineage: Eukaryota; Viridiplantae; Streptophyta; Magnoliopsida; Fabales; Fabaceae
Exons: 2
Source: RefSeq, a predicted model, not a curated record